CCCAGCUGUAGGCAACUGCCUAGGUUGCAUUGUACCUAAGCAAGUGUUCCACUGCUGGGAGAAAAGCAGCCAAUAGCUGGCAGGCAUU
Molecule: small nucleolar RNA, 88 nt
Organism: Ochotona princeps (American pika)
Lineage: Eukaryota; Metazoa; Chordata; Mammalia; Lagomorpha; Ochotonidae
Gene: SNORA74
Rfam family: Small nucleolar RNA SNORA74
About the family: U19 belongs to the H/ACA class of snoRNAs. snoRNAs bind a number of proteins (including dyskerin, Gar1p and Nop10p in the case of the H/ACA class) to form snoRNP complexes. This class are thought to guide the sites of modification of uridines to pseudouridines by forming direct base pairing interactions with substrate RNAs. Targets may include ribosomal and spliceosomal RNAs but the exact functions of many snoRNAs, including U19, are not confirmed.
Source: Ensembl